AGUGCCUGGUAAUCUGCUGAGGGAGAGAAUGGAAUACUUCUUGGAGGAACGAGGGAUGUUAAAGCUGUCUGGAUAUCUGUAGAGACUUCAAAGAGAAGACUAAUUGUAAAAGUCAAUACUGUCCCAAGCUGGCAAGGGAAAAGGGUGUCUCAAGUUAGAAAACAACCUUACUGAGUGCAUUCUUCUGCCUGGAAAACCCUAGUUGAUGUAUGAGAAAGAUCACAAAGGAAAAAUGUUAUGGAAGAUAUGAGGGAAGUAAAGAAAUAGGCGUAAGAAAUACAAAGUCUAAGAGAGGACAGAACAAGAAAUACCUGUGUGACUUUGUGUGCAUGGAAACAAGUACUUUUAUCACAGUCCUAUAGUGAUGUGAUUGGAGGGUAUAACAUGCCUUCCACCUUCAAGCCAGCCUCUUUGUGGAAGCCAGGACAAUGGAGAGCACUCAUCCAGACUGGCGGUUGUGUGAGAGUCCUUUCUUUUUACUGCCAUCUCUGAACAAUAGAGCUAUUCCAAUUCCAUGCUGCAAAAGGGAGACCCAGCACAGU
Neopsephotus bourkii (Bourke's parrot) is the source of this 542-nucleotide long non-coding RNA. RefSeq lists it as uncharacterized. The transcript is spliced from 3 exons. NCBI's taxonomy places the organism in Eukaryota, Metazoa, Chordata, Aves, Psittaciformes, Psittacidae. The record is from RefSeq and is a predicted model, not a curated record.